GCAAAUACAACAUUCUAUUGUAGUCAGAGCAUCCGUUACUCAACAAAUCUGUAAGGAACUUUUCUUUCCACCUGCCAGGUAAUAAAACUGAGGCCCCUAAAUAUGAAAUGAUACAAUGAAUUAGUGUCAGAGCCAGAGCUAGUAGAUAGCUGUCUUGGUUUCCAUUUCAGUCUACCUUUUCCCUUGCCUGUGUUGAAGGGAAGCAUCUGAAGACUGCAGUAGUCCUUAGUUCUGAAUGCUCCGUAAGUCUGGGGAAAAGUCACAAAGCUUGAUUGAAAAGAGCAUGUGCAUACACUCUCAGCCUACUCCCACUGCAAGUCUUUACCUCACAAGGUGAUGAAUAAUAGAAAGGUUGUAACUGCAUAGAAGAAUCUUCCAUUUGGCUGGGGAGCUGGAGCUGCAGAGACAGAAACUGAUCUAUGUUUCUGACCCUACUUCUUGUUAGUUAUGUCUUUUUCACUUCAGAUGCUGAUCAAUAUUCAUUGAGCAUUUACUAUGUGCAAGGCACUCUGCUGGACCCUUUGAGAGAAAAUGAAACUCUACCCUCAAGAAGCUCAGAGUUAAGAUGUAUCUAUAUUCUAGAGAGACAGUGGGGUGUGUGUGUGUGUGUGUGUGUGUGUGUGUGUGUGUGUGUGUGUGUGUGUGUGUGUGUGUAUAAAACAUUCAAUUUAGAUUGAGGAUCUGGGUUCAGAUUCCACUCUUCUACUUCAUUUCCUCUGUGACUUUGGGAAAAUUGUUUGACCUCUCUGAGCCUCUGUUGGGCCACAGCUGUUCAUCGUCCAGUGUAUAACUGAAAAGUUGUUACCCUAAAAAAAAAAAAACUACAUUACCCAGAAGCCCACUGACUUCCUGUCAUUAUAUACUUCCUGUAGAGAGGGGAUAUUAGGCAAGGACGUGAAGGUCCUGCCUCUUGACUUCCUGUCCUGAGCUUGGUGGUGGUAAGGCUUGCAUUUGAACUGGCUGACCAGCCACAGGCAUGUAGUUUUUAUUUUGUGUCCUCUUUAUUCUUUGAUUUCUAAUGAUCUUUAAUAAACCUCCUAAAUUAUAACA
RNAcentral lists this long non-coding RNA (1050 nucleotides) under Monodelphis domestica (gray short-tailed opossum). RNAcentral describes it as "lncRNA (ENSMODG00000030958.2)". The record is from RNAcentral. Lineage: Eukaryota; Metazoa; Chordata; Mammalia; Didelphimorphia; Didelphidae.